CUGCCCCUCGGUACCGAGGGAGGCGCCCGCGACUCUAAAUAACGGGUACCGCGCCAGCUAGUCCCUGCCGGCGCCCAGCGCACCGGCCCGGGCAACAUCGUCAAACUGCGGGAAAGCCCUGCCACGACUACCGGGACCCCACCGCCCCAGCAAUGAGAGCGGGUGCCUGCGGCUAACAGCUGCGGGUACGGUAAAGCACCGAAGUCUAGGGGCAAUCCGCCGCCAAACCCUCCCCGCUCCGGGAGGGCCCAGCUCACAGGCCAGACGGCGAUGGGCGCAGCCGCGCUUAAGAUAUGGUCGAGUGACCCGUCGAGAGGCGGGUGCAACUCAGGAAACGUCCGUAGGUGAACCUGCGGAAGGAUCAUU
This 366-nucleotide ribosomal RNA is filed under the name Thyrinula uruguayensis. RNAcentral describes it as "partial 18S ribosomal RNA". The record is from RNAcentral. Lineage: Eukaryota; Fungi; Ascomycota; Dothideomycetes; Asterinales; Asterinaceae.